UGCAUCCGUGAGGGCGCCAGAGCCACUCCCCGCCCCAGGCGAGGAGAUUUCCCCUCUUUGCGAUGAAUCACCGUCCGGCUGGGAGGGAUUUUUCUCCCUGGACGCUUCACAGAGCAGUUAGUUGCAAGGGCUGGCACCGAUUCUUCGCAUCAUGUCUGGGAUCGCAGCGAAAGUGGCCAAAGAGCGGGAGGUGGCCCAAGGGCUGGGCUCCAACCAGAAGGCCGUGAAGUACCUCCAGCAGGACUUCGGGGCGCUGCGGGCGGAGUGCCUGGAGGCCGGGGGGCUCUUCCAGGACCCCUGCUUCCCCGCCGCCGCCCCCGCGCUGGGCUUCAAGGAGCUGGGACCCCACGCCGCCAAGACCAAGGGCAUCGUCUGGAAGAGGCCCACGGAGUUAUGUUCCAAUCCUCAGUUUAUUGUUGGAGGGGCCACCCGGACUGAUAUCUGCCAGGGAGCUUUAGGAGACUGUUGGCUUCUGGCUGCCAUUGCUUCUCUCACGCUAAAUGAAGAAAUUCUGGCUAGAGUUGUUCCCAGUGAUCAAAGCUUUCAAGACAGAUAUGCAGGGAUUUUCCAUUUCCAGUUCUGGCAGUAUGGAGAAUGGACAGAUGUGGUGGUUGAUGAUCGGCUGCCAACCAAAAAUGGGGAGCUCCUUUUUGUUCACUCAGCAGAAGGGACUGAGUUCUGGAGUGCUCUGUUGGAGAAGGCCUAUGCCAAGGUGAAUGGGUCGUAUGAGGCUCUCUCUGGAGGAAGCACUACUGAGGGCUUUGAGGACUUCACUGGUGGAAUUGCAGAGUGGUAUGAACUGAGAAAAGCUCCACCAAAUCUGUUCAGAAUCAUCCAGAAAGCCCUUCAAAAAGGUUCUCUCCUUGGAUGUUCUAUCGAUAUCACAAGUGCUGCUGAGACGGAGGCAGUCACAACACAGAAGCUGGUUAAAGGGCAUGCAUACUCUGUAACGGGUGCAGAAGAGGUCAGUUUCCGAGGCAGUCUGCAAAAAUUGAUCAGAAUCCGAAAUCCCUGGGGAGAAGUAGAAUGGACUGGGAAAUGGAACGAUAAUUGCCCAAGCUGGAGUAAUGUUGAUCCUGAAGUGAGAGACAGACUAACCAAGAAACAUGAAGAUGGAGAAUUUUGGAUGUCAUUUGACGAUUUUCUGAGACAUUACUCACGCCUUGAGAUCUGUAACUUGACACCAGACACCCUGACCAAUGACAACUACAAGAAAUGGAGUCUCAGUUUGAUGGAUGGGAACUGGAGAAAAGGAUCCACUGCUGGUGGAUGCAGAAAUUAUCCUGAUUCAUUUUGGAUGAACCCACAAUAUUUGAUUAAACUUGAGGAAGAAGAUGAAGAUCCGGAUGAUCCUGAGAAGGGCUGCACCUUCUUGAUUGGACUGAUUCAGAAACACCGCCGGAAGCAGCGGAAAAUGGGGGAGGAUAUGCAUACCAUUGGCUUUGCCAUCUAUGAGGUACCUCCACAGUUUUCAGGCCAAACCAACGUCCAUCUGAGCAAAAACUUCUUUCUAACAAAUCGAGCGAAAGAACGAUCAAACACCUUCAUCAACCUCCGAGAAGUGUUAAAUCGCUUCAAGCUUCCCUCAGGGGAGUAUAUUAUUGUGCCAUCAACAUUCGAACCCAACAAGAAUGGGGAUUUCUGCCUCCGAGUCUUCUCCGAAAAGAGUGCGGAUUCACAGAUUGUUGAUGAUGAAAUUGAGGCCAACAUUGAAGAGAAAGAAGUCACUGAAGAUGAAAUUGAACCCAGUUUUAAGAAACUAUUUGGACAAUUAGCUGGAGGGGAUGCUGAGAUCUCAGCCUUUGAACUGUGUGGUAUUCUGAAAAAAGUGAUGGCAAAACGCCAAGACAUUAAAUCAGAUGGCUUCAGCAUUGAAACAUGUAAAAUCAUGGUUGAUCUAUUAGAUACAGAUGGAAGUGGUAAACUGGGGCUGAAGGAGUUUCAUAUACUUUGGACAAAGAUUCAGAAAUACCAGAAAAUUUAUCGGGAAAUGGAUGUUGAUAGUUCUGGAACCAUGAAUGCCUAUGAGAUGAGGAAAGCUUUAGAACAAGCAGGCUUUAAGCUGGAUUGUCAGUUGCACCAAGUCAUUGUGGCUCGUUUUGCUGAUGAGCAGCUGAUCAUUGAUUUUGACAAUUUUGUUCGAUGCUUGAUUCGGCUGGAAACCUUGUUCAGUAAGUAAAUUAUCAAUAGAUAUUUAAGAAAUUGGACACUGAGAAAACGGGAACAGUACAGAUGAAUCUUGUCACUUGGGUGUGCUUUACUAUCAUCUAAAGAAGGAAUGGAUCUCAUUUGAAAACUUCUGUCAGGACCAGAACAUCAUUUUAAGAUCAAUACCAAGCAAUCAAAGAAACUACUUAUAUUUUAAUGCUGCUGCAUAUCUUCUAUUUAUGAAAGUGGUUGCCUAAGAGAAAGGAGAAAUGCUGGAAAAAUAAAAUGAAUUGACAAUGGGAGAUGGUUAACUUGGCAAAUCCAUUAUACAAGCAUUAACUUUUUAUGCAAAAAUUUGCUUUAGCUGCUUCAAAAUGUGCCAUAUAAAAGAAAGUAGACAAAACACAACUCAACCCAGAUCUUUAAGAAACUGGCAUGUGAAUGCCACCUCUCUGAAAGAAAAAUAAUAUAUUUCAUUCUACUUUUAUUAAGCAUUAUAAACACCAAACAAGCAUCUUAAUGCUAGGCAAUAAAGCAUUUGCAUAGUGAGCUUCUUACUGUGAUUUUAUCAAGCACUGAUUUUCAAACAACUGAAAUUCAACUCAUCAUAUUUAAUGAAUGCAUUUGUCACUGAAAUAUUGGAUGAUAAUUGUGUCAUGUAUCUACAUGACUUCCUAUAAUUUUUAUUUCUUCCUAUGAUUUUAAACUUUAUGUUCUUUUAAAAUAUGGACUAUCUGUUGAUAAAUCAAAUUAGAAUUACCUCAGUUGGAUCAGCACUUGUGCAGAAUGCAACAAACAUGCAGAUUGAUUUCAGAUACAUGUGCAGGUACAAUGGUAGCAAGGGAUCAUAUUUUUAAAAAGUAUGUUUUACUUACAACCCAAAGCAAAUAAAUUAUAUAAGUCAUUCUCUUUUCAUCAGGGGUUGAACAAUACUUGUACUUCCUAAUAUAGAAGGGUUUAAAAAUAUAAAGCCAGUUGAGCUAGCAAUGUUUUUUAACUGUUAAGAGUGCAAUAAAUUUCUUGGAAUGCA
Molecule: RNA transcript, 3178 nt
Organism: Anolis carolinensis (green anole)
Lineage: Eukaryota; Metazoa; Chordata; Lepidosauria; Squamata; Anolidae
Gene name: calpain-2 catalytic subunit
Exons: 21
Source: RefSeq, a predicted model, not a curated record